GUCGGCUACGGCGACAUGGCCCCCAAAACCUACAUCGGCAUGUUCGUGGGCGCCCUCUGCGCCCUGGCCGGCGUACUAACCAUCGCACUGCCAGUGCCCGUCAUCGUCAGCAAC
Molecule: regulatory RNA element, 114 nt
Organism: Drosophila melanogaster (fruit fly)
Lineage: Eukaryota; Metazoa; Arthropoda; Insecta; Diptera; Drosophilidae
Rfam family: Potassium channel RNA editing signal
About the family: This family represents a group of sequences related to the human potassium channel Kv1.1 hairpin element which directs the efficient modification of an adenosine to inosine by an adenosine deaminase acting on RNA (ADAR).
Source: Rfam